AUUGAACGCUGGCGGCAGGCUUAACACAUGCAAGUCGAGCGGUAGCACAGGGGAGCUUGCUCCCUGGGUGACGAGCGGCGGACGGGUGAGUAAUGUCUGGGAAACUGCCUGAUGGAGGGGGAUAACUACUGGAAACGGUAGCUAAUACCGCAUAACGUCGCAAGACCGAAGAGGGGGACCUUCGGGCCUCUUGCCAUCAGAUGUGCCCAGAUGGGAUUAGCUAGUAGGUGGGGUAAUGGCUCACCUAGGCGACGAUCCCUAGCUGGUCUGAGAGGAUGACCAGCCGCACUGGAACUGAGACACGGUCCAGACUCCUACGGGAGGCAGCAGUGGGGAAUAUUGCACAAUGGGCGCAAGCCUGAUGCAGCCAUGCCGCGUGUGUGAAGAAGGCCUUCGGGUUGUAAAGCACUUUCAGCGAGGAGGAAGGUGGUGAACUUAAUACGUUCAUCAAUUGACGUUACUCGCAGAAGAAGCACCGGCUAACUCCGUG
This 490-nucleotide ribosomal RNA is filed under the name uncultured bacterium. RNAcentral's name for it is "partial 16S ribosomal RNA". It matches the Rfam family "Bacterial small subunit ribosomal RNA", at positions 30 to 507 of the family's 1533-position model. The record is from RNAcentral.